GGAGACUGUUGGAGGUAUGCCCUAGAGGCAAUCAUAGAGAUGAUGAUAUUCCAUUUGUAUCCAUGAUUUGUAUGUUGUGUUCAUUGAAUAUCCAUUGAAGGCUACUUGAAUUGAUUUGCAAUUAUGUGAAUUGUAUGUGAAACUCUUUACUUGUAUGGUUAUUCUAAAGUUGUCCCUAGUCGGAGUUUAUGUGAGGACACACAUGAAUAUUAGACUAGCACAUGUAUUAGUUGAUGACUAUGUUUCACAAGUCAUGGACAUGGAGAUGUUGAACUAAUAAUGUGGACACAUGUGGAGACAUGUGCUAGGACUGACCCAACACGAGAAGUAGUUCUCUCUUUAAACAACAUAUACGCUUUGUCCUUAGACCUGAGACUGUCGCAUGUAUUCU
Molecule: long non-coding RNA, 391 nt
Filed under: Setaria viridis
Lineage: Eukaryota; Viridiplantae; Streptophyta; Magnoliopsida; Poales; Poaceae
Description: long non-coding RNA (SVIR_LNC000914)
Source: RNAcentral